Molecule: small RNA, 1849 nt
Filed under: Caenorhabditis elegans
Lineage: Eukaryota; Metazoa; Nematoda; Chromadorea; Rhabditida; Rhabditidae
Description: Unclassified non-coding RNA C28D4.21
Source: RNAcentral
GUAGCAUACGACAAUAAUGGAAAAGUGAUUGGAUUUGGAAAUGUGAUCAUCUAUCCAUCUGGUGAAUGUGUAUUGACUCCACUAUAUGCUGAUGAUAGUAAAGUGGCUCAGGCGAUAUUCAAAAGCAUUUUAAAAGAAAUUCCACUCAAUGGCAAGAAGGAACAUAGAUUCCAAAUUAGAUCAAUCGAUCAAUGUGACGGGGGAUUUGAGUAUAAAUCAGUAUUAUGACAUCUCAAUUAGAAUUGCUUUUUAGAUGGAUCCAGCCCUUUGUCAGAAGACCGAUAAGAAAGGAAAUCAUGGGAUACAUGUGUGGCAUUCCUCAUCAUCCGACCGUCAACUACAAGAAAACUUAUUCAAAUACACCAUAUACCACCUGCGCAAUUUGAUACAAGUGAUAAAACUAUUUUUUAAUUCUUUACAAUUUUUGUUGCCUUUUUUGCUGAGAGCAGACAUAGUUUCUCCAAGAAACACACUGAAGAAAGUGAGCAGAAGUGAAUUGUAUCUUUAAAGACUGGGAUUUUUGUCUAUGUUCUUCAGAAAAUUAAUCCCAUGUAAGAUUGGCAGAUAUCCGAGACAAGAUAGAAGUGAUACGUGGACUCAGGGUUCGUGCACGAGAAAAGUCAGUAUUCAUCCGAUAUGAAAACCGAAAUGAACUGGAUCCUGCACGACAAAACCAAGAAAGACUGAACAGAAAAUGUGUGCAGAAACGUGUUCCAAAGAUGGUCUUACUCGAACAUGCAUAUUUGAAUCGAAAACUAGGAAGCAAUCAAAAUGAACAAGUGCAACUAGAUCAAAAAUAAUCACUGAAAAAUUGAACGGAUAACAGAGAAUUGCUUGAUCCAAAAACGUUUUUUGAACGAUACAAUACCAACAAAUCAUAUGCAGCCAGUUCCAAGUGAUUAGUGUUUAGAAUGUUUAUAAGAUUUUGAGAUUUUAGAAUAGUUUCCCACGUGUAGAACCUUCGAAGACCUUGCGUGUUCGGUUAACCUUUUUUAUUUUACUUUUAUGUUUUCGAUUUUUCCGAUUAAUUCAUAAAACUAGACUUGCCCAAUUCGACUUGAAUGCUCUUCAAAUCUCUUGGCCGCCAUCUCACGAAAGUUUCUUCGAAUAGUGCCAGUUCACUCAGGACAAUCAAGUACAAAACUGUGGAUGGAAAACCAAGAGAUACACUUACACUUCAAAAUGUUGAUUUUAUAAUCAAUCCUGAUGAGAAAAUGAUUGAUGAGUAUAUGAAAGUGGUAAGUCAUUUUCAGGAGUUGCGAGAAGUCUGGCAUAAAGACUACAUUGAGAAGUUGAAAAUGUUCAUUUGUUUUAAUUUAAUCAUAUAUGAGCUCAGAUGCAUUUCAGUACGGAAAUCAACGUUUGAACUUCAAAAGAAACGACAUUUCAAUGUGGAUGAAGUCAUUUGAAGGCCGUUAUGCUCUGUGGUUUACUUGCCCAAAGGGAACUAACAAAAUAAUUCAAACAUCCCACGUCAUCACCUUCCCACCGAUACCAUCAAACAAUGACACAAAUCAUCAAUAUCGUGGAAUGUUUUGGAUUGAUGCAGAUUAUCGUGGAGUUGAUAGCAUGAUAUUGACUGAUUAUAUUGAGAAGCUCAGAAUUCGUAAUCAAUCAGAUAAUGCUGUUGCUCAAUGCAUGCCUACUUCGAUGAACUUAUGGAAGAAAAUGCAUGGACAAAAUGAUGCUGGACAUAUUCAGAAUGUUUCAUAUUACAAGCCAGAUGAGAUGCAGGUUCCUGACGACUUGAAUCUUGAUGGAAUAUUCCUUAAAAAUGCAACGGAGGCACCAAAUAUGUAUAUUGUGAAACUGUUAAAUCUUCUUAGAGAUCCUGAAGGUUUUGGAAAGG